Molecule: long non-coding RNA, 519 nt
Filed under: Homo sapiens (human)
Lineage: Eukaryota; Metazoa; Chordata; Mammalia; Primates; Hominidae
Description: HSALNT0382546
Source: RNAcentral
AGAGCCGCGCUGCUCGGCUCCCAGGCCGGGGACACGGCCCGGUGUUAAGCGGAGGGUGCCCGACCGCGGGAAUUCCUAAGGCCACGCGCACCUCCAAGGCCACCGCCGCACACAGCUUCGGAGUGCACAGUGCACACGCCCAGGCACAGGCAGCCGGCCCGAGAAAUUGUGAAUGUCUUGGCUUUGAGUUUAUCUGCGUAUCCUGGCGAAGUUUGGAUGCAGAGAACUUGGAGCUGUUGUUUUCUACCAGACACUAGGAUCCCUGAGAGAGGUGUCAUUCUUUCGCGCUGCACACACCUUCCUCCACGUGGUGAAGAUACAUCGCUCCUGACAGCCUCAUGCCUGACUGGACACUGAAAAAGAGGUGAAGAGAUGAGGCGAUAGAACAAAAGAACAGAAAGAUAAUGAAGCUGAGACUAACAUAAUUAUGUAUGCAGCCACAAAUGGAGCACAAAGCAAUUACUGCUUGUGGGAAUUUGAGAGAUGCUCUUUGAAGAGGUGUGAGGGAAUCAGUAAUAC